UUUAAAGAAUGAUGAUAUUUUCCAUGCACCACUCUUAAUGCUUAUUAAAGCAAGGUGCAGAUUAUGGAUAUCGAAGCUGAA
Molecule: small nucleolar RNA, 81 nt
Organism: Drosophila busckii
Lineage: Eukaryota; Metazoa; Arthropoda; Insecta; Diptera; Drosophilidae
Rfam family: Small nucleolar RNA Me18S-Gm1358
About the family: Me18S-Gm1358 is a member of the C/D class of snoRNA which contain the C (UGAUGA) and D (CUGA) box motifs. This family directs 2'-O-methylation of 18S G-1358.
Source: Rfam